UACGGAGGGUGCAAGCGUUAUCCGGAUUCACUGGGUUUAAAGGGUGCGUAGGCGGGUUGGUAAGUCCGUGGUGAAAUCCCCAAGCUUAACUUGGGAACUGCCGUGGAUACUAUCAAUCUUGAAUAUCGUGGAGGUAAGCGGAAUAUGUCAUGCAGCGGUGAAAUGCUUAGAUAUGACAUAGAACACCAAUUGCGUAGGCAGCUUACUACACGAUCAUUGACGCUGAGGCACGAAAGCGUGGGGAGCAAACAGG
RNAcentral lists this ribosomal RNA (253 nucleotides) under uncultured bacterium. RNAcentral's name for it is "partial 16S ribosomal RNA". It matches the Rfam family "Bacterial small subunit ribosomal RNA", at positions 524 to 776 of the family's 1533-position model. The record is from RNAcentral.